This 1078-nucleotide ribosomal RNA is filed under the name Salmonella enterica. RNAcentral's name for it is "partial 23S ribosomal RNA". It matches the Rfam family "Bacterial large subunit ribosomal RNA", at positions 1149 to 2210 of the family's 2925-position model. Lineage: Bacteria; Pseudomonadati; Pseudomonadota; Gammaproteobacteria; Enterobacterales; Enterobacteriaceae. The record is from RNAcentral.
UCGAGUCGGCCUGCGCGGAAGAUGUAACGGGGCUAAACCAUGCACCGAAGCUGCGGCAGCGACACUGUGUGUUGUUGGGUAGGGGAGCGUUCUGUAAGCCUGUGAAGGUGUGUCGUGAGGCAUGCUGGAGGUAUCAGAAGUGCGAAUGCUGACAUAAGUAACGAUAAAGCGGGUGAAAAGCCCGCUCGCCGGAAGACCAAGGGUUCCUGUCCAACGUUAAUCGGGGCAGGGUGAGUCGACCCCUAAGGCGAGGCCGAAAGGCGUAGUCGAUGGGAAACGGGUUAAUAUUCCCGUACUUGGUGUUACUGCGAAGGGGGGACGGAGAAGGCUAUGUUGGCCGGGCGACGGUUGUCCCGGUUUAAGCGUGUAGGUGUGUGUUCCAGGUAAAUCCGGUUCACUUUAACACUGAGGCGUGACGACGAGGCACUACGGUGCUGAAGCAACAAAUGCCCUGCUUCCAGGAAAAGCCUCUAAGCAUCAGGUAACAUCAAAUCGUACCCCAAACCGACACAGGUGGUCAGGUAGAGAAUACCAAGGCGCUUGAGAGAACUCGGGUGAAGGAACUAGGCAAAAUGGUGCCGUAACUUCGGGAGAAGGCACGCUGACACGUAGGUGAAGUGAUUUACUCAUGGAGCUGAAGUCAGUCGAAGAUACCAGCUGGCUGCAACUGUUUAUUAAAAACACAGCACUGUGCAAACACGAAAGUGGACGUAUACGGUGUGACGCCUGCCCGGUGCCGGAAGGUUAAUUGAUGGGGUCAGCGCAAGCGAAGCUCCUGAUCGAAGCCCCGGUAAACGGCGGCCGUAACUAUAACGGUCCUAAGGUAGCGAAAUUCCUUGUCGGGUAAGUUCCGACCUGCACGAAUGGCGUAAUGAUGGCCAGGCUGUCUCCACCCGAGACUCAGUGAAAUUGAACUCGCUGUGAAGAUGCAGUGUACCCGCGGCAAGACGGAAAGACCCCGUGAACCUUUACUAUAGCUUGACACUGAACAUUGAGCCUUGAUGUGUAGGAUAGGUGGGAGGCUUUGAAGUGUGGACGCCAGUCUGCAUGGAGCCGACCUUGAAAUACCACCCUUUAA